AGAUUGAACGCUGGCGGCAUGCCUUACACAUGCAAGUCGAACGGUAGAGUAGCAAUACUUGAGAGUGGCGAACGGGUGAGUAAUAUAUCGGAACGUGCCCAGUCGUGGGGGAUAACGUAGAGAAAUUUACGCUAAUACCGCAUACGAUCUAAGGAUGAAAGCGGGGGACCUAAGGCCUCGCGCGAUUGGAGCGGCUGAUAUCAGAUUAGGUUGUUGGUGAGGUAAAAGCUCACCAAGCCGACGAUCUGUAGCUGGUUUGAGAGGACGACCAGCCACACUGGGACUGAGACACGGCCCAGACUCCUACGGGAGGCAGCAGUGGGGAAUUUUGGA
Molecule: ribosomal RNA, 333 nt
Filed under: uncultured soil bacterium
Lineage: Bacteria
Description: bacterial SSU rRNA
Rfam family: Bacterial small subunit ribosomal RNA
Source: RNAcentral